UUAAUCUAUUAUUAGUUUGAGUUUUAUUAAUUUUAUUAGGAGUUAAAUUAAUUAAUUUAUUUUUUCUUCUUUUCUCCUUGAAUGACGCUUAGGGCAUGUUUGAUUAGUAGUAUUAGUGGUACUAUUUUAUUAACCUGUUAAUCAAAGUGGUACUAUUUCAUGGGAUUAUUAAUCAAACAAGGCCUUAGUUUGAGUUUUAUUUAUUGCAUAAAACACCUGUUUAUUAGUUUGUAUAACAUUUUGAUAACAUUCGGAUUUAUUAGUUUGUAUAGCAUUUUGAUAACAUUUGAAUUUGAUUUACAAAUAAUGGGAAAAAGGGAAACCUGAGUUUUGAUUUUUCUUCAGUAUUUAUAUUUCUAUCUUGGAAUACAAGUUCAUAAUUGUAUUUUAUGUAUGCAUGUAUGUAUGUGAUAUUGUUUCUUUUAUUAAUUUUAUUUUAUUUUAUUUUUUGUGGCUUUUUAAAUAGAGAGAAUGGGUUGAUUUUUUGUGCUAGUUUUUGGCUAUUUAGCUAAUUUUCCUAUUCGCAAACAAAUUUAACCAAAAUAGAUAGGAGUUAAAUUAAUCGUUUUUUUUUUCUUUUCUCCUUGAAUGACACUUAGGGCAUGUUUGAUUAGUAGUAUUAGUGGUACUAUUUUAUUAACCUGUUAAUCAAAGGAGGUUACCCGUUUAUUAGUUUGUAUAGCAUUUUGAUAACAUUCAAAUUUGAUUUACAAAUAACCUAUACGAUUUAUUAGUUUGUAAUGCAUGAUAAUUUCAUUUGGAAUGCUAUUAAAUGUCAUUCUCAAUAUACACAACCAACCAAGCAUUAAUUAGUAGAUAACAAUGGGGAAAAUGGAAACUUAGGCUUUGAUCUUUAUAUUUCUAUCUUUAGAUAUCUUUUGUUUUAAUAAUCUUUCAAAAUAUUAAUGAAUGUUACCAGCAUGUUUGGAUGUCUUUAAUUUUUGGAUAUCUUCAAUAAUCUUCAAUAAUCUUUUGUUUCAAUAAUAUUGACAGCAGGUUUGAAACAUUGUGUCUGAAGCGUUGGGGACUUCCUUAAGACCUUUCAUAUCGAAACAAGGUACAGAUGUGGUUUUGGCAAUACUAAGCUAGAACGACCUCUAACAUUAUGGAUAAUGGACACAAUGGUUAUGUUAUAUCAAGAGCUGUAUUAGCUCAACGUGCACGACGAAAACAUGAAAGAAAUGAAAAUGCAUGCUUUGCAUAUCAAUCGAGACAACGCUUGCGACAAGAACGAGAGAGAUUACGAGCAUACAUUAAAGGCUUUCCUUCAUUAACACCGAGUCGUCGCAGUCACGCUUGCCUAGAACAGGGUACAAAGACAAUUGAGGAUACUUCGUUGGCACAAAAACGAACAAUGGUUACACAUGCAUCCACAUGUGUGUUCUCUAUGGAAAGUACAUCUUUGGCUCGGAGUUGGUAAAACAUGUUUAAUUCUUUAAAUAAUACUCUUACUUUUACAUGUGUAUAAAUUUAAAUUUAUCCACAACAAAUAUUUGUAGGCCUAAUUCUACAGUCACAUUUUUUCAAGAGGAUCUAUGUACAUAUGAUGAAUUAGAAGAUAUGACUAUAAGUACUACGAUUAAUACUCAAUCACACAU
Camellia sinensis is the source of this 1598-nucleotide non-coding RNA. Lineage: Eukaryota; Viridiplantae; Streptophyta; Magnoliopsida; Ericales; Theaceae. The record is from RefSeq and is a predicted model, not a curated record.